Gallus gallus (chicken) is the source of this 402-nucleotide long non-coding RNA. Lineage: Eukaryota; Metazoa; Chordata; Aves; Galliformes; Phasianidae. The record is from Ensembl.
CACAAAAGCUUGAGCUGUUUCAUUUUCUGAAUAAAUGAGUUCUCAGUCACUGUGAUCAAAGUUCAGUGUUCUUCAUCUGAGGUCUCCAAUCCCCUCUGCCUGGAGCCUGGCCACCAGCCCAGCCAGGGUGCUCCUUGUUCCAGUGAAAAUCUGCAAUCUCACAUAGAUCUCACAAUACUUGUACAGCAGGUGGUGUCCAUAUUCACUCCUCAUAAUCUUCUUGUGUCUGUAGAGCACUCUUCAGCCUGACCUCCUAAAUCCAUGGAGCCAGCAGAGCCACCUGCCUGAGUCACAUUGCCACAGAUGUGGAGCAGCACUUCCUCCAGCCUCAGCGGUCACAUCAGUGUGUUCAGACUGAGGUGUGUUUCUUCUGGAGCUGGCUUCUGUAUGUGACAGUCCUCC